GAAAGUGUAGCUCAGUGGUAGAGUACUUAACUAGCAUGUAAGAGGCCCUGGGUUCAAUACCUAGUACCA
This 69-nucleotide transfer RNA is filed under the name Neotoma lepida (desert woodrat). It matches the Rfam family "tRNA". Rfam says of the family: Transfer RNA (tRNA) molecules are approximately 80 nucleotides in length. The record is from Rfam by way of RNAcentral. Lineage: Eukaryota; Metazoa; Chordata; Mammalia; Rodentia; Cricetidae.